AUACGUAGGUGACAAGCGUUAUCCGGAUUUACUGGGCGUAAAGGGCGUGUAGGCGGUCUUGCAAGUCAGAAGUGAAAUUCCUGAGCUCAACUCGGGCGCUGCUUCUGAAACUGCAGGACUUGAGUGCUGGAGGGGAUAGCGGAAUUCCUAGUGGAGCGGUAAAAUGCGCAGAUAUGAGGAAGAACACCGGUGGCGAAGGCGUGUAUGUGGACAAGAACUGGCGGUGGGGCGCGAGCGCGUGGGGCGCAAACAGAAUUAUAUACCCGGGUACCCCGCGCCGUAAACGAUGAACACUAGGUGUAGGGGGUAUCGACUCCCUCUGUGCCGCAGUUAACACAAUAAGUAGUCCGCCUGGGGAGUACGGCCGCAAGGUUGAAACUCAAAUGAAUUGACGG
Molecule: ribosomal RNA, 395 nt
Filed under: uncultured bacterium
Lineage: Bacteria
Description: partial 16S ribosomal RNA
Rfam family: Bacterial small subunit ribosomal RNA
Source: RNAcentral